This 426-nucleotide ribosomal RNA is filed under the name uncultured bacterium. RNAcentral's name for it is "bacterial SSU rRNA". It matches the Rfam family "Bacterial small subunit ribosomal RNA", at positions 30 to 456 of the family's 1533-position model. The record is from RNAcentral.
AUUGAACGCUGGCGGCAUGCCUUACACAUGCAAGUCGAACGGCAGCACGGGAGCUUGCUCCUGGUGGCGAGUGGCGAACGGGUGAGUAAUACAUCGGAACGUACCCUGAAGUGGGGGAUAACGUAGCGAAAGUUACGCUAAUACCGCAUAUUCUGUGAGCAGGAAAGAGGGGGAUCGCAAGACCUCUUGCUUUAGGAGCGGCCGAUGUCGGAUUAGCUAGUUGGUGAGGUAAAGGCUCACCAAGGCGACGAUCCGUAGCGGGUCUGAGAGGAUGAUCCGCCACACUGGGACUGAGACACGGCCCAGACUCCUACGGGAGGCAGCAGUGGGGAAUUUUGGACAAUGGGCGCAAGCCUGAUCCAGCCAUGCCGCGUGAGUGAAGAAGGCCUGGUUGUAAAGUCUCUUCGGUGGGGUAAGGAAAGUUAG